RNAcentral lists this ribosomal RNA (690 nucleotides) under uncultured bacterium. RNAcentral describes it as "bacterial SSU rRNA". It matches the Rfam family "Bacterial small subunit ribosomal RNA", at positions 790 to 1482 of the family's 1533-position model. The record is from RNAcentral.
GUAGUCCACGCCCUAAACGAUGAGUACUAAACGUUGGGUAAAACCAGUGUUGAAGUUAACACAUUAAGUACUCCGCCUGAGUAGUACGUACGCAAGUAUGAAACUUAAAGGAAUUGACGGGACUCCGCACAAGCGGUGGAUCAUGUUGUUUAAUUCGAAGGUACCCGAAAAACCUCACCAGGUCUUGACAUGCUUUUGCAAAGUUGUAGAAAUACAGUGGAGGUUAUCAAUUGCACAGGUGGUGCAUGGUUGUCGUCAGCUCGUGUCGUGAGAUGUUGGGUUAAGUCCCGCAACGAGCGCAACCCUUGUUGUUAAUUGCCAGCAUGUAAUGAUGGGGACUUUAGCAAGACUGCCAGUGAUAAAUUGGAGGAAGGUGGGGACGACGUCAAAUCAUCAUGCCCCUUAUGACCUGGGCUACAAACGUGAUACAAUGGCUGUUACAAAGGGUAGCUAUAGCGUAAGCUUUUGGCGAAUCUCAAAAAAGCAGUCUCAGUUCGGAUUGAAGUCUGCAACUCGACUUCAUGAAGUUGGAAUCGCUAGUAAUCGCGAAUCAGCAUGUCGCGGUGAAUACGUUCUCGGGGUUUGUACACACCGCCCGUCAAACCACGAAAGUUGGCAAUACCCAAAACCGGUGGCCUAACUUACGCAAGUAAGAGGGAAUCGUCUAAGGUAGGGUUGAUGAUUGGGGUU